UGAUGACCCCCUUCUCAGCGGGUUCCACUGAUUAGUGAUCGAGAGUGACAACCGAGCGACUGAGA
Molecule: small nucleolar RNA, 65 nt
Filed under: Euglena gracilis
Lineage: Eukaryota; Euglenozoa; Euglenophyceae; Euglenales; Euglenaceae
Description: Eg-m95
Source: RNAcentral